Molecule: ribosomal RNA, 916 nt
Filed under: uncultured beta proteobacterium
Lineage: Bacteria; Pseudomonadati; Pseudomonadota; Betaproteobacteria
Description: bacterial SSU rRNA
Rfam family: Bacterial small subunit ribosomal RNA
Source: RNAcentral
AGAGUUUGAUCCUGGCUCAGAUUGAACGCUGGCGGAAUGCUUUACACAUGCAAGUCGAACGGCAGCACGGGUGCUUGCACCUGGUGGCGAGUGGCGAACGGGUGAGUAAUGCACCGGAACGUACCCUGUAAUGGGGGAUAACACAUCGAAAGGUGUGCUAAUACCGCAUACGCCCUGAGGGGGAAAGCGGGGGAUCGUAAGACCUCGCGUUAUUGGAGCGGCCGAUGCCGGAUUAGCUAGUUGGUGGGGUAAAGGCCCACCAAGGCGACGAUCCGUAGCUGGUCUGAGAGGACGACCAGCCACACUGGGACUGAGACACGGCCCAGACUCCUACGGGAGGCAGCAGUGGGGAAUUUUGGACAAUGGGGGAAACCCUGAUCCAGCCAUUCCGCGUGAGUGAAGAAGGCCUUCGGGUUGUAAAGCUCUUUCGCAAGGAAAGAAAACUUAUCUACUAAUACUAGGUGAGGUUGACGGUACCUUGAUAAGAAGCACCGGCUAACUACGUGCCAGCAGCCGCGGUAAUACGUAGGGUGCGAGCGUUAAUCGGAAUUACUGGGCGUAAAGCGUGCGCAGGCGGUUCGACAAGUCUGAUGUGAAAUCCCCGGGCUCAACCUGGGAACUGCGUUGGAAACUGUCGGGCUAGAGUGUAGAAGAGGGGGGUAGAAUUCCACGUGUAGCAGUGAAAUGCGUAGAGAUGUGGAGGAAUACCGAUGGCGAAGGCAGCCCCCUGGGCUAACACUGACGCUCAUGCACGAAAGCGUGGGGAGCAAACAGGACUAGAUACCCUGGUAGUCCACGCCCUAAACGAUGUCUACUAGUUGUUGGAGGAGUAAAAUCCUUUAGUAACGCAGCUAACGCGUGAAGUAGACCGCCUGGGGAGUACGGUCGCAAGAUUAAAACUCAAAGGAAUUGACGG